UUAAUGAUUGGUAGAUUGGUAGCGUACGUGUAGAGGAGUCGCGAAGAUCGGCCAUUUUGGGACAGAGACGUCCAGGUGAGAGGCAGGGCUUCUUUUCUGUCCUCUCACGAUUCCAGAUGGCAGGUGUACCGUGGCUACGACCACGUGCAUGGUACUUUGUGCGACACAUGGACAAAUUGGUAGAGGGCGCUUCCAAACCAUGAUGUGAAGUUCAGUGCAGAGAACAACAGCAUAGCAGGACCAAGAUGGCGGCCGGUACAUCCACCGUGACCUGAUACCCACAAGGUCAAUGGAUGACCUUCAAUCGCGUACAGCGACCUUCAAGUGAGGACUACAGUCGAGAUGACGUGACUGUACCAAAAGGAGAAAACGCACGCUGGCUAUCACGUGAUCCUGCAGCCGUUACCGGUGUCAAGGUCGCAACCUUUCACCCAGAGGUCAGCUGCCCAACGACCUUUCUCCCAGUGAGAGCAUCUCUCCAAGGGUCAAAGUUCAAUCAACGACUAUCAGUAACAAUAGCAUCAUACUCCCCAUUGUCGACAAUGAGGGUGUUUUUUAAUUUUGUUAUUCAGAAAAAAUAUGGUUGGCGGGGAAGAUACAAUGUCAUGUAAACUGAAGAAACAAUAAAGAUAUUUGAACGUAUACAAA
Branchiostoma floridae (Florida lancelet) is the source of this 648-nucleotide long non-coding RNA. RefSeq lists it as uncharacterized. NCBI's taxonomy places the organism in Eukaryota, Metazoa, Chordata, Leptocardii, Amphioxiformes, Branchiostomatidae. The record is from RefSeq and is a predicted model, not a curated record. The transcript is spliced from 4 exons.